CAGCCACAUCUUACUGCACACGUAACGUACACUGAACGUGAUCCAAGGCCUCUAUAUACUCACGGCGCAGUUCUUCUUUGUUCAUUGCUUGGAAGUAAAAAGAGGUUGAAAGUACAUACAGCGACAUAUCCUACUGUUAACGAACAUCUCGACGCCGUCCAUGCUGUUCAGGACGACGGUUAGAUGAAGUAAAUUAUGUGCUGCGCGCUGUCCACUCAGUAAAUAAACACAACAAAAAAUGUCAGUGGUAGUUAGGAAAACGUCUGAUCGCGAUGUGGGUAUGUUUGGACCUGCUCUGCAAUUCACCAGCAUCAUGUCAACAGAUGAGACAGUGGAGUCUUCUGACAUCCAACUGCUUCGGGUGAGUACGGCUGCCAGCCGUCCCAUCACAACAGAAACGCAGAGCCUGGAGGAGGAGACCGGAAAUGCAGCCCAGACACUGACAAUCGGAGACGCAGCUGUCUCUCUUCAGCUGGAAUUACUGUGGCUUUAAAAGGAACUGAAGGAUGAAUUGGGGUAAUACGGCUGGACUGACUUCAUUGGCUGCUCAUCAGAGACUCUCUGGUGGACGUUUGACCUCCCAUUGAUCACAGAUGCCAGUUUGAUUGAAAUAGAAGCCAUUGUGUCGCACCCUAUUAAAAUACAUUGGGUCCAGACGGCUGGAUAUCAAACCUCAGACGUCUGUCAGUCAAUCAGGUUUUCUCCUGCUGCGGUCAGAGGAGAUCCUCCGGUCUGUCUGACAGUGAGGUACAUGCGCUUCAGAAAAGCACAGAGGGGAACAUCCCAGCGUGAGGAAGAUGCCAGAAUACAACUGUGUCAUCUCAACACAGAUGUUUUACGGCAGAUUUGUCAUUUUCCGAGCUGCAGAAGUGCUAGACAGAUGACAGAAGGAUAAAAUUAGAAAACAGAGGCACUUAUCAUGUCAGACUAAGCACGUCAUUCUCCCACAGGAUGGAGCCGGAGCCGGGAUAUAGCAUACACCAGUGAGCUUUCAUCAGAUGAGUAGUGUUUGAUUGAUUGACCGUCCUUUAUUGAUAAUCAGUCAUAUAUAAUGGGGAAUCUCAUGAAACCUGUCAAAAACAUGUGCAAGUCAUAUUUCACCCACAAAAUAACGAAAAAUAUUUUUCAUAAAGAAAACAGAUACUAUUUUCAGGAGCAUUAUGAUUUUUUUUUAUUUAUUUUUUUUAUUGUGGCAUUA
Megalobrama amblycephala (Wuchang bream) is the source of this 1198-nucleotide long non-coding RNA. RefSeq lists it as uncharacterized. NCBI's taxonomy places the organism in Eukaryota, Metazoa, Chordata, Actinopteri, Cypriniformes, Xenocyprididae. The transcript has 6 exons. The record is from RefSeq and is a predicted model, not a curated record.